Small nucleolar RNA from Hyla sarda, 74 nucleotides. RefSeq annotates it as small nucleolar RNA U2-19. The transcript has a single exon. Lineage: Eukaryota; Metazoa; Chordata; Amphibia; Anura; Hylidae. The record is from RefSeq and is a predicted model, not a curated record.
GAUCAAUGAUGAAAUAUAGCCAAAUCUGAGCACCAGGUAGCGGAAACUGGUGCAUGAUUUGUAAAGACCUGAGA